GACGAAGGGGGCAAGCGUUACACGGACUUACUGGGCGUAAAGCGUGCGUAGGUGGUUCGUUAAGUCUGAUGUGAAAGCCCUGGGCUCAACCUGGGAAUUGCAUUGGAUACUGGCGGGCUGGAGGGGGGGAGAGGAUGGCGGAAUUUCCGGUGUAGCAGUGAAAUGCGUAGAGAUCGGGAGGAACAUCUAUGGCGAAGGCGGCCAGCUGGACCAGCGCUGACACUGAGGCACGAAAGCGUGGGGAGCAAACAGG
Molecule: ribosomal RNA, 253 nt
Filed under: uncultured bacterium
Lineage: Bacteria
Description: partial 16S ribosomal RNA
Rfam family: Bacterial small subunit ribosomal RNA
Source: RNAcentral